RNAcentral lists this small nucleolar RNA (107 nucleotides) under Gossypium hirsutum (cotton). RNAcentral describes it as "Plant small nucleolar RNA R71". It matches the Rfam family "Plant small nucleolar RNA R71". From Rfam's summary of the family: R71 is a member of the C/D box family of snoRNAs containing the C (UGAUGA) and D (CUGA) box motifs. Multiple nearly identical copies of this snoRNA have been identified in Arabidopsis, and it is thought to function as a 2'-O-ribose methylation guide for 18S ribosomal RNA. Lineage: Eukaryota; Viridiplantae; Streptophyta; Magnoliopsida; Malvales; Malvaceae. The record is from Rfam by way of RNAcentral.
AAUUCUUGCAUCGAACAUUUCCAAAGUAAUUCCUUAAAUCAUUCCCAAGCUUCAUAUAGUGCCUCAUCUUUUAAUUGAGGAAAAUAUGUGAUGUCAUUUCUAAGCUU